Molecule: ribosomal RNA, 447 nt
Filed under: uncultured bacterium
Lineage: Bacteria
Description: bacterial SSU rRNA
Rfam family: Bacterial small subunit ribosomal RNA
Source: RNAcentral
UCGGGAAUUUUGGGCAAUGGGGGAAACCCUGACCCAGCAACGCCGCGUGAAGGAUGAAGUAUUUCGGUAUGUAAACUUCGAAAGAAUAGGAAGAAUAAAUGACGGUACUAUUUAUAAGGUCCGGCUAACUACGUGCCAGCAGCCGCGGUAAUACGCAGGGACCAAGCGUUGUUCGGAUUUACUGGGCGUAAAGGGCGCGUAGGCGGCAUGACAAGUCACUUGUGAAAUCUCUGGGCUUAACCCAGAACGGCCAAGUGAUACUGUCGCGCUAGAGUGCAGAAGGGGCAAUCGGAAUUCUUGGUGUAGCGGUGAAAUGCGUAGAUAUCAAGAGGAACACCUGAGGUGAAGACGGGUUGCUGGGCUGACACUGACGCUGAGGCGCGAAAGCCAGGGGAGCAAACGGGAUUAGAUACCCAAGUAGUCCCUGAGCGGGCUGGCAAGGCGCAU